This 420-nucleotide ribosomal RNA is filed under the name uncultured bacterium. RNAcentral's name for it is "bacterial SSU rRNA". It matches the Rfam family "Bacterial small subunit ribosomal RNA", at positions 29 to 445 of the family's 1533-position model. The record is from RNAcentral.
AAUGAACGUUGGCGACGUGGAUUAGGCAUGCAAGUCGAGCGAGAAUCUGAUGAACGAUCUUUCGAGUGAGUGAUUCAGAGGACAGCGGCAAACGGGGUAGUAAUACGUAGGUUACGUACCCCCGGGUCCGGGAUAGCCAUGGGAAACUGUGAGUAAUACCGGAUGAUCUCUGCGGAGCAAAGGUGUGAUUCCGCCCGGGGAGCGGCUUACGCGGUACUAGGUAGUUGGUGAGGUAACGGCUCACCAAGCCUUCGAUGCCUAGGGGGUGUGAGAGCAUGGCCCCCACACUGGGACUGAGACACUGCCCAGACACCUACGGGUGGCUGCAGUCGAGAAUCCUCGGCAAUGGACGCAAGUCUGACCGAGCGACGUCGCGUGCGGGAUGAAGGCCUUCGGGUUGUAAACCGCUGUCAGAGGGGA